AGUGUCAAAGAGAUGUGAAUAAUAGAUGCUUGAGGAAAGGAAGUCCUACCAUCUUAGCUGUUCUUCUUUGUGUGAUGUGUUGUGUCAAUUACAUUGACAGAAGGCUAGAGAUCAGAAAUAACCCCUCUCAAUGGUGUUAAAAUCCCAUAUUGGUACCAGGUUUUGCUGGGAACAAAAAAGACUAAGGAUAACGUACUAGAAAGUUCUUGAAAAUUUAUUACUUGCAUUAAGAAGUAUUUGCUUAUCUCAAACUAUUGGAGGAAAUAGGAAAUAAAUGUAUUUUUGAAUGUUUGUAUAUGCUGCUCUUUAGACAUAUUGUAAGGGAUUUGUUAUUUGUAAUUGGAGAUAAACAUUUGGUAUUCUUUUUUAAAUUUGGCAAUUGUAUGUGACUUUUAUCAGUAAUUAGAAACAGUUAGUUAUUGGGUGUA
Molecule: long non-coding RNA, 428 nt
Organism: Vigna radiata var. radiata (mung bean)
Lineage: Eukaryota; Viridiplantae; Streptophyta; Magnoliopsida; Fabales; Fabaceae
Exons: 3
Source: RefSeq, a predicted model, not a curated record